AGCAGUAGCCACGGGAAUACGCAGGUCCCGAGCGUUGUCCGGAUUUAUUGGGCGUAAAGCGAGCGCAGGCGGUUAGAUAAGUCUGAAGUUAAAGGCUGUGGCUUAACCAUAGUACGCUUUGGAAACUGUUUAACUUGAGUGCAAGAGGGGAGAGUGGAAUUCCAUGUGUAGCAGUGAAAUGCGUAGAUAUAUGGAGGAACACCGGUGGCGAAAGCGGCUCUCUGGCUUGUAACUGACGCUGAGGCUCGAAAGCGUGGGGAGCAAACAGGAUUAGAGACCCCAGUAGUCCCUGUCUCUUAUACA
RNAcentral lists this ribosomal RNA (303 nucleotides) under uncultured bacterium. RNAcentral's name for it is "partial 16S ribosomal RNA". It matches the Rfam family "Bacterial small subunit ribosomal RNA", at positions 507 to 808 of the family's 1533-position model. The record is from RNAcentral.